RNAcentral lists this unclassified non-coding RNA (2222 nucleotides) under Hevea brasiliensis (rubber tree). Lineage: Eukaryota; Viridiplantae; Streptophyta; Magnoliopsida; Malpighiales; Euphorbiaceae. The record is from RNAcentral.
AAGGGUUUAUCACUUGUGGAGGAAUCUUAUCCAGUUCAGAUCAGAAGCUGGAUUGGUGUGGAAGAUCCCAAUUACCCAAAUUAAAUCCAUUGUCCAUCGAUCACUGGUGUUGCAACCUUCAUAAUUCAUCAAUUUUACAACAAGAGAAGAUGAGGCCAGCCAAAGACACUGCUGGAAGGCGAGCUCGUCCCUCUUCUCCACCCAGAUCUGCUCGAACUACUACCACCUUUCCCUCUGGGCCUCACUCUUCUCUACCCAGGUCUCGUCAAUCUACAAUAGCCCACUCGGCCUCCCUCCUCGACAGCGAGCUCGUCACUCAAGAAGACAAUGUCGCUCUGUUUGAAGACCUCCGAAUCUUCCCGGAGCACGCAAAUUCAAACCCUGAACCGAGGAGCUUUCCAUACAGCGUGAAGCAGCAAUGCUGGGAGAAGGCGGAGAAGGUCAAGGGCCGAGACCCAGACCGGUGGCGCCGCGACCCCCUUGGUAAUAUUGUCUUUAGAAAGCUUGUGGGUUGUCCCGGUUGCUUGUGCCACGAUUACGAUCACAUUGUGCCUUACUCUAAGGUUUGAACUUCUAUAUUGCACAGAAUUCUGCGUUAGAUGCUUGUGAACUCUUUGUAAGACUGCCAUGUAACCAGUCAUACUGUAGAUCUUGUCAGAACCACUCAUAUCAACACCUUAUAAUAUAUUUAUUUUGUAUUAUAGCCUGUAACUUGUUCUUUAUUUAUUUAUCUUUUGCAUGUGGCUGCUGCUUGAGAGGCUUUAAAUAUUUUCAAUUUUCAGGGGGGCAAAAGCACACUGGAAAAUUGCCAGGUUUUGCAGGUGAGAGGCUUGUCUUGUACUAAUGCAUGUAACUAUGACAUCUAAUUGGCAUGUGGUUCUUGUUUGCUUUGGUAAGAUAUUCUCAAUUAAUUCUGCCUUGUGAUCUUAAAUUCUUCUUGCUACCUGUGAAUCUGAACCUUUGUUCCUUGCAUAUUUAAUAUGCUUGUCCUAUCACAAAAGUUAUUAUUUAGAGUUCUUUUUUUUCUCACUUUUCUACAUGAUAGAAUACAGUUCAUUUCAUUCUAGAUUUGCUUCUCCGCUGCUCUAUAAUAUGUGGUGGUUCCUUGUUCGCUCAGUAAUAUGGGGUGGUUCCUUGUUCUUACUCAGAUCUAGUAAAGAUGGUGUAAGGAAAUAGAGCAGGUUUCUGUGCUGCUUCUCUUCCUGAAUUGUUUAGGUUGCCUGGAGUUGUCACUGCCUUUGCAUGGCUCACAUUUAUCCUCUCAAUCAACUAAUGGAAAUGAAUUUUCUUACCUUUUAAAGCUUUUAUCUUCGGACUACGUGUUAGAAAUCGAAAAGAAUUUUUGUGUAGAUAAUUUUUAGUUGACUACCAUACAUAAUACAGGGUCCCCAGGAAAAAAAGGGAACCUUCAUUCUAUGGGUCAAGCCAAAAAAUACUCCAUUUCUAUGAUGCAAAAACUCCUAAUUGUUUUGCUGUUAAGAUGUCAGAAACUCAACAAUCAUAUCAAUCUUUCUGUCUCACCUGAUUUCCAGGUGCAUCUCUUCUUAGAUCUACAUGAUUUGAUCUUUUCUGUUUUUAUGGAAACCCAUUUAAGACAUCAAAGUUCACUUUUGAGUGCAAUUAUAUUAUGCUUUUCCCAACUGGUACAGAGAAUCUCCUAAGUAAAGCUGACUUUUGGCUUAUGCUGCAGGCAACAGUUAACCGAUCAAAGGGAAACAAAACUGAGCUGUCAAGAGCUGAUCUUAUUCAGAAAAGUUCCUAUUGCCGUGUUUCUGGUAUUGUGAAUUUAAACCAUGAACAUUCAGACAAGGAAAUUCAGGUGAAAAACUAACUGGAGAAUUUUGAAUUCACUGCAGGACGUGACAUGGAUCUUAUUGAGCUGUCAGCCUAUGGCAAUGUGCAGCAUGUACAGGACCCGGGAGGUUGUAGAAUUCAAUGAACAACUGGCUACUGUAAAAACUGAUGUCAAGAUGGGGCAAAGAAUUUGUAUUUCUAAUCAUACAAUUAAUGAUACCUUUAUCUUCGUUGUAUACAGAAGCUUCUUACUCAAUACUUUUGGGAUACCGUUCAUGCUUACGAUGAUCUGCACUGCAUUUUCUUUUUGUGGUUAAACUAUAUUGUUCCUUCGGGAGUAGAAACCAGAAUUUCAUGGUGGGAACUGUUAGCUUGGAAGGCUUUCUGUAACACUUCUAAAUGUAUAGUCUGGUAUAUUUUACUGUUUU